AUAUCAAUAAGCGGAGGAAAAGAAACCAACAGGGAUUACCUCAGUAACGGCGAGUGAAGCGGUAAAAGCUCAAAUUUGAAAUCUGGCUCUUUUAGAGUCCGAAUUGUAAUUUGUAGAAGAUGCUUCGGGUGUGGUUCCGGUCUAAGUUCCUUGGAACAGGACGUCAUAGAGGGUGAGAAUCCCGUAUGUGACUGGAUACCUAUGCUCAUGUGAAGCUCUUUCGACGAGUCGAGUUGUUUGGGAAUGCAGCUCAAAAUGGGAGGUAUAUUUCUUCUAAAGCUAAAUAUUGGCCAGAGACCGAUAGCGCACAAGUAGAGUGAUCGAAAGAUGAAAAGCACUUUGGAAAGAGAGUUAAACAGUACGUGAAAUUGUUGAAAGGGAAGCGCUUGCAAUCAGACUUGCACUUGGUGUUCAUCAGGGUCUCGUACCCUGUGUACUUCAUCAAGUUCAGGCCAGCAUCAGUUUGAGUGGUUAGAUAAAGGCUUAGAGAAUGUGGCCCUCUUCGGGGGGUGUUAUAGCUCUAGGUGCAAUGUAGCCUACUUGGACUGAGGACCGCGCUUCGGCUAGGAUGC
Molecule: ribosomal RNA, 572 nt
Filed under: Botrytis caroliniana
Lineage: Eukaryota; Fungi; Ascomycota; Leotiomycetes; Helotiales; Sclerotiniaceae
Description: eukaryotic LSU rRNA
Rfam family: Eukaryotic large subunit ribosomal RNA
Source: RNAcentral